UUCCGUAGGUGAACCUGCGGAAGGAUCAUUAUUGAAUUUUAUUAAUGAGGAGUUGAGUUGUUGCUGGCCUUUUCUACCUUAAUUUGGCAGGAGGGGCAUGUGCACACCUUCUCUUUCAUCCAUCACACCCCCUGUGCACUUGUGAGACAGCAAUAGUUGGUGGAUUUAAUUCCAUCAUCCAUUUGCUGUCUACUUAAUUUACACACACUCUACUUAAUUUAAACUGAAUGUAAUUGAUGWAACGCAUCUAAUACUAAGUUUCAACAACGGAUCUCUUGGCUCUCGCAUCGAUGAAGAACGCAGCGAAAUGCGAUAAGUAAUGUGAAUUGCAGAAUUCAGUGAAUCAUNGAAUCUUUGAACGCACCUUGCGCUCCUUGGUAUUCCUUGGAGCAUGCCUGUUUGAGUAUCAUGAAAUCUUCAAAGUAAACCUUUUGUUGAUUCAAUUGGUCUUUUUUACUUUGGUUUUGGAGGAUCUUAUUGCAGCUUCACACCUGCUCCUCUUUGUGCAUUAGCUGGAUCUCAGUGUUAUGCUUGGUUCCACUCGGCGUGAUAAGUUM
This 557-nucleotide ribosomal RNA is filed under the name Rhizoctonia solani. Its description in RNAcentral is "eukaryotic LSU rRNA". The stretch from base 256 to 409 matches the Rfam family "5.8S ribosomal RNA". Lineage: Eukaryota; Fungi; Basidiomycota; Agaricomycetes; Cantharellales; Ceratobasidiaceae. The record is from RNAcentral.